AUAAAUAUCAAUCAAUAGGGCCUAUGGUAGGCAGAAUAAUGCGCCCCCCCCAGAUGUCCACAUCCUGAUCCCCAGAAUCUUUGACUGUGUUACAUGGCAAGAGGGAAUCAAAGUUGCAGAUGGAAUUAAGGUUGUUAACCAACUGACCUUGAGAUGGAGAGAGGAUCCUGAUUAUCCAGGUGGGCCCAAUAUAAUCAUGAGGGUCCUUAAAAGUGGAAGAGGGCUGCAGGAGAGUCGGUGUCGGAGGGAUGUGGCAUGCAAAAGACUAUCUACCAUGGCUGGCUCUAAAGAUGGAAGGAGGCCGUGAGCCAACGGAUGCAGCAUUUCCUAGAAGGUGGAAAAGCUUCUGCUUCUCCCUGCAACUCUCAGCUUCUCCCUUUUCUCUCAUGAUCAGAACAUAGAAGCUGAAAGACCGGGAGAGAAGGAUCACUUUCGUAUAGGCCUGGUAACCCCAUGACUGCCUGCAAUCAAGAAAAUUGUACCACAUAAACCACUGUUCAGAGAGAAUGCUGUUCGUUCGCCGGUAUCUUUUUUUUUCUUCUGGGCACGCAGCUAGGCUGUAUUUCCCAGUCUCCUCUGCUGUUAGGUGGAGCCAUAUAACUGAGUUCUGGCCAACGGAACAAGAGGCAAUCAUGGGUCUAGUGGCUGGAUGUGGAGACCUGGUGAACUCCAAGACCCUGGAGAUUGGUGAAGCCCCUAGACUGGAAGCAUCCUGGGUUCCUAAGUUGCCAUGUGGAAUAAAGCUACCCAGGAGACCCACCCAACCACAGACACCUGUGUUGGACUGUUUCAGGUCAAAAAAUAAUUUUUUUAUUAUUUAAAACCACUGAAAUAUUGGUGCCUUUAUUACAAUUCAGAGACUGGUACCUCGAAGUUGGGUGCUGCCAUAGCAUAAAUCUAAAAUACAUGAGUGAGUUGGCGAAUGGUAAGGAAACAUGGUAGUAGCUGAAUGAUGGAUACUAGGCUAUAAAGUAGCAAGACACUGAAAAAUGGUCACCUGCAGUAACUUAAAGAAGACCGUGUGUUUACUGAACCAGGGUUCUGAGGAAGCGGUUGGGAAUAAUUUGAGUGCUGGUGCCUGCUGGCUACUAUUAGCUGUCUUUGGUAAUGUUUUAUAGGAAAGAGAUGAGUUCAGGAAGGAGUUGGCUGGUCUGCAAGCUGAAAUGAAAGGGAACAGAGUCAAGAAACCUGGGGCAAUGAAAUGUUAGGAUAGCUGAUACCUUUGAGAUUACCAAAUAAUAAGAGAUAAGGCUUUGAGUAUUAGAGCCAGUGAUAUUCCUCAGUUAAACACAAGACUCAGCCCAGCGGCAAAGAUCAGAUUAGGAAUGUGGCCUUCCCAUAUGUUCUUUUAGAUGGAUACGGGAUAGAGACACAUUCUCUCUUCCUUUGUGGGCCAGAAGCAUAGAUCCAGGAAAGGUCUCUGACGGCCUAGGGCAGAGGUCCACAAAGAGCCUAUGGGCUAAUGGUCUAUGGCUGUUUCAUGCUACAGAGUUGAGUACUUAUGACAAGACACUAUAGAGCCUAGAAAGUCUAGAAUAUUUACUAGCUGGCCCUCUACAGAAAAAGUUUGCCAACCCCUGCUCUAGGGAAUGGCAGAGCCCCUAGACAGAAGGUGCCUGGCUUCCCAGUCACAACCAUCUCUUGGAGGAGAGCCAAUAACCCAGGAACACACACCCUGCCCUUUGACUGCGUUUACACCUUUAGUUCCUCUGGUUCUCAGGCCUUUGGAUUCUGACUGAAUUAUACCACCAGGAUUCCUGGGUCUCCAGCUUGCAGAGGGCAGCCUGUGGGACUUCUCACCCUCUGCAAUCACAUGAGCCAAUUCCUCAUAAUAUCUAUAUACUAUAUACCACGUAGCAUACAUCCACUUGUCCUAUUGGUUCUGUUUUCUGGAGAAACCCUGACUACUAGAGUUGUUGCUGAUGCUGUGGAUAGUGCUAUUUUAAACAGAUAAAUUGUCUAGUACAUGUAUUUUUUCCCACCUUGUCUGAUUGUCUCCUUUAAGUGACUUCCUAGGUCCCAGGAUCUCUUGGUCCAGGGGCAUGAACGUUUUUAAGGCCUUCCUAUAUCCUGCCUAAUUGAACUCUAAGACAGUUAUAAAAAAUGAAGCAACUCUCAGGUAGAGAUAUAUAGAAGUGACAUCUAAACUUCUGGCUAAUGUUUCUCAAACUGAGUAUUUUAGAAUUGUUCAGUUUUCUCCAAAAUGUGCUUUCUUAGGAUUGCCAGCUUGUCCAUCCAUGUGGAAAGCUGAGGGCUUCAUUAGAGAAGAGUCCUCCUCCUGUGUCUCUUCAGCUUUCUGAGCCGGGAGCAGCCCCUGCUUAAACAGUGCCCGCUUCUCAUUAAUGUCUCCAGGGCUCUUGCAAUAUCCCCAGCUCCGUUUUAAUGAGUCAGCGAUUUCCUUGAAAUGGCAUGAAGUCAAAGCAGGGCUUCCAGGCUGCCAGCACAGUGACACUGAGAAGCCAAGUCACCAAGACUAGAGCUGAAAGAGAAUCCAAGAAACCAUUUGGCCCAACUUUCUGGCUUCAGGCAAAUAAGAUGUUCCAUCAGCAGAAGAGUUUUAGAAGAUCUAGACAGCCUUUGGCAAGGAAUGGUGUCUCUCUAGUCAUUGUGUUAAGCAAAAAGAGAAAACGCUGUACAAGGAAAGCAAAUUGCAGUUAAAAUUAAAGUGUUAUCCCUAUGAAGGAACAGUCCAUCGAAUGGUACCUACAUCAGGACAAGACUUUCCCCUAUUCAUUACCUGUUUCUAAUUUGUCUCCAGUAUCAACUCUUUUCCCCAAAAACUAGGAUAACAAUUGCCAUCAAUUCACUUGGCACAGAGUGUCCUAUUGCCAAGGUGUUAAAAAAUAUAUAUAUAUUUUUAAAAAUUUAAUUUUCUCUACAAAGAAUGUUUAAAUAACAAGAGAAAGUCACCAUCUUAACACAUAUCCUACCAUUUUAAAACAACCACUUUUAGCAUCUUGGUGCAUUUUGGUCUUUUGGGGGUAUAGUCCAGAAAAAUUGGUUUUGGUCCAAGUAUCCCUAUACAGUACUUUAGUUUGCUUUUUCCGUUAAUAUUGUUUCACAACAAUUUUCAUGUGAUUAAAAAUCUAUAAAACAUUAUUUUUCAAUGACUGAAUACCAUAAUUUACCCAACAUUUCCCAAUUUUUUAUUAUAAAUAACAUGGUGGUAAAGACUUCCAUGUGUAGAACAUUCUCCACAUUUUGGAUUAUUUAAAAAAGAUAGAGGGCCAGCCCGGUGGUGCAUCGGUUAAGUUCGUGCAUUCCGCUUGGGUGGCCCGGGGUUCACCGGUUCAGAUCCCGGGUGUGGACAUGGCACUGCUUGGCAAGCCAUGCUGUGGUAGGCGUCCCACAUAUUAAAGUAGAGGAAGAUGGGCACGGAUGUUAGCUCAGGGCCAGUCUUCCUCAGCAAAAAGAGGAGGAUUGGCAGCAGAUGUUAGCUCAGGGCUAAUCUUCCUCAAAAAAAAAAAAUAGAUUUCUAGAAAUU
RNAcentral lists this long non-coding RNA (3484 nucleotides) under Equus asinus (donkey). Its description in RNAcentral is "lncRNA (ENSEASG00005032252.1)". The record is from RNAcentral. Lineage: Eukaryota; Metazoa; Chordata; Mammalia; Perissodactyla; Equidae.